AGAGUUUGAUCAUGGCUCAGAACGAACGCUGGCGGCAUGCCUAACACAUGCAAGUCGAACGAAGCCUUCGGGCUUAGUGGCGCACGGGUGCGUAACACGUGGGAAUCUGCCCUUCGGUUCGGAAUAACAGUUAGAAAUGACUGCUAAUACCGGAUGAUGACGUAAGUCCAAAGAUUUAUCGCCGAAGGAUGAGCCCGCGUAGGAUUAGGUAGUUGGUAGGGUAAUGGCCUACCAAGCCGACGAUCCUUAGCUGGUCUGAGAGGAUGAUCAGCCACACUGGGACUGAGACACGGCCCAGACUCCUACGGGAGGCAGCAGUGGGGAAUAUUGGACAAUGGGCGAAAGCCUGAUCCAGCAAUGCCGCGUGAGUGAUGAAGGCCUUAGGGUUAUAAAGCUCUUUUACCAGGGACGAUAAUGACAGUACCUGGAGAAUAAGCUCCGGCUAACUACGUG
RNAcentral lists this ribosomal RNA (453 nucleotides) under uncultured bacterium. Its description in RNAcentral is "bacterial SSU rRNA". It matches the Rfam family "Bacterial small subunit ribosomal RNA", at positions 8 to 507 of the family's 1533-position model. The record is from RNAcentral.